GACGAACGCUGGCGGCGUGCUUAACACAUGCAAGUCGAACGGAAAGGCCUCUUUCGGGGGGUACUCGAGUGGCGAACGGGUGAGUAACACGUGAGUAGCCUGCCCUUGACUUUGGGAUAACUUCAGGAAACUGGGGCUAAUACCGGAUAGGAGCUCCUGCUGCAUGGUGGGGGUUGGAAAGUUUCGGCGGUUGGGGAUGGACUCGCGGCUUAUCAGCUUGUUGGUGGGGUAGUGGCUUACCAAGGCUUUGACGGGUAGCCGGCCUGGGAGGGUGACCGGCCAAAUUGGGGAUGGGAUAAGGCCCAGACUCCUACGGGAGGCAGCAGUGGGGAAUAUUGCACAAUGGGUGGAAGGCUGAUGCAGCAACGCCGUGUGCGGGAUGACGGGCUUCGGGUUGUAAACCGCUUUCGCUCAGGACGAAGCUUUGUGUGACGGUAGUGGGUAAAGAAGCACCGGCUAACUACGUG
Molecule: ribosomal RNA, 467 nt
Filed under: uncultured bacterium
Lineage: Bacteria
Description: partial 16S ribosomal RNA
Rfam family: Bacterial small subunit ribosomal RNA
Source: RNAcentral